This is an RNA transcript of Vespa mandarinia (Asian giant hornet), 1354 nucleotides long. It is a transcript of the gene named transmembrane protein dusky-like, with no coding region annotated. NCBI's taxonomy places the organism in Eukaryota, Metazoa, Arthropoda, Insecta, Hymenoptera, Vespidae. The record is from RefSeq and is a predicted model, not a curated record.
ACAAGUCUAUGAAUAGGAGAACGAAGGUCGAUGUUUUUGUUAAAGAUACUGCCAAUAUUAUUUUGGUAACUACGUUCGAGGAUACAUUCUUUGAUUAGAUCCCAAAGGAGAAGGUCGUAGCUGUUUUUAAUCGAUUUCAAACGAUGCGUAGUAUUCUUAGUGUCCGUUUCACGGAGAAAGUAUGGCGGAUUGGUUUACGUCGAUUCAUCAACAAGCUUGAUAGAAUAAAAAACAUAUAUUCGCCUAAACAUCUAUGAUAUAGAUUUCAAUGAAACGGAGGAUCGAAGUGAGAGAAGAUAUCUGUUUGGUGAAAAGCGUGGAAAUUCGUUAUAAAACAAGUCUGACUGGCGAGUAAGAAGAGCGAGUAUAACUCUAAUCGAGUUGGUGAGUCGGACAAGUAUCCUGUUUACGAAGCUGAAACGCCGAUCGAUUCCGGAUGCGUAUCGUGAAAGCAGCCUUCGAGAGGAGGCAGAACUCCGCACGCACUCUUAGUGGAUUUGCUGUGGCGCGGCGUGGUUCGCAUACCACAUGGUGAAAUGUCUAUUAUCGUCUAUUGUUCCGUAAAUAUGGCGACCUUCGAGUCUCUUGGUGAAAUCAUUCGAUCAUUUGAUUUUAAAAGGGCAUGAAAAAUAAUAAUAAGGAAGAUACAUUUAAGAAAAUUAAAGAGGGGUGUCUUUUGCAUUUAUAGGAUCAAUCUUCGAACGCAAUAAACUUUACGUAUCCAAUGGAUUGAAUUUAAAUAGAAAUUGAAGUGACCAGAAGGAGGAUCGUCAAAUUACAUCGUUCGAUCUAUAUACAAGGUUAAAGAGAAAGAAGAAAGAGAAAUAAAAGAAGAUGUAAAAGAGAAAGAGAAAGAGGAGGAGGAAGAGUAGGAGAAGAAGAAUAAGAAGAAGAAGAAGAAAGGGCGUUCGAUCACACGGCACGUUCGACACAAGCAAUCGAGAAAGGGAGAAAGAAGAAAGCUUGCUAUUCAGUGACCCAAAAUUAUCGCACGUAUAUGCAUACUUCCUUGCAAUUAAACACCCACUUUGUUCGAUUGUCUGCGAAGGCCUCUUUUCAUGUUACUUUAUGAACAUACGCAUACAUGGAUAUACCUAUGUCUUAUAUAUUCUAACUACGUAUUUUGAACGAUAGAUUGUAAUCGUAAUUAUUCGAGAAAGUUAUCUUGAUGAUCUUUAAAAUCAUGACAUAUUUAUGACAAAUAUAUAUAUUCGUUUAUAUUCGUUUUAUAAUAAAAUUUAAUCAUUGUUUAUUUUAUAAUAACGUUUGAAAGUUAUUAUAUCAUUAAUAACUUUGUUAAUUUUAAUUAAAUAAUGCCAUUAAUGAUAUUACAGUGAAUGCAGAAUUACAAUUU